RNAcentral lists this ribosomal RNA (484 nucleotides) under uncultured bacterium. RNAcentral's name for it is "partial 16S ribosomal RNA". It matches the Rfam family "Bacterial small subunit ribosomal RNA", at positions 30 to 507 of the family's 1533-position model. The record is from RNAcentral.
AUUGAACGCUGGCGGCAGGCCUAACACAUGCAAGUCGAGCGGCUGCAGGGUGCUUGCUUCUGGCUUCAGCGGCGGACGGGUGAGUGAUGCCUAGGAAUCUGCCUGUCAGCUUGUGAUUAGGUCGUUACACGGGCGCUAAUACUCCAUUAGGCCUGAUGGCGUACGUGGGGGAGCUUCGGACCUUCCGCUCUCAGACGAGCGUAGGUCGGAUUAGCUAGUUGGUUGGCUAAAGGCCUACCAAGGCGACGAUCAGUAACUGGUUUGAGAGGAUGAUCAGUCACACUGGAAUUGAGACACGGUCCAGACUACUACGGGAGGCAGCAGUGGGGAAUAUUGGACAAUGGGCGAAAGCCUGAUCCAGCCAUGCCGCGUGUGUGAAGAAGGACUUCGGAUUGUAAAGCCCUUUAAGUGGGGAGGAAGGGCAGUAGGUUAAUACCUUGCUGUUUUGACGGUACCCACAGAAUAAGCACCGGCUAACUUCGUG